GCCUGGCUGGCUCAGCCUAUAGAGCACGCGACUCUUGAUCUCGGGGGUGUGAGUUCGAGCCUCACGUUGGGUG
This is a non-coding RNA of Ailuropoda melanoleuca (giant panda), 73 nucleotides long. NCBI's taxonomy places the organism in Eukaryota, Metazoa, Chordata, Mammalia, Carnivora, Ursidae. The record is from Rfam.